Molecule: ribosomal RNA, 492 nt
Filed under: uncultured bacterium
Lineage: Bacteria
Description: partial 16S ribosomal RNA
Rfam family: Bacterial small subunit ribosomal RNA
Source: RNAcentral
AGUGAACGCUGGCGGUAGGCCUAACACAUGCAAGUCGAACGGCAGCACAGUAAGAGCUUGCUCUUACGGGUGGCGAGUGGCGGACGGGUGAGGAAUACAUCGGAAUCUACUUUUUCGUGGGGGAUAACGUAGGGAAACUUACGCUAAUACCGCAUACGACCUACGGUUGAAAGCAGUGGAUCUUCGGACCUUGCGCGAUUGAAUGAGCCGAUGUCGGAUUAGCUAGUUGGCGGGGUAAAGGCCCACCAAGGCGACGAUCCGUAGCUGGUCUGAGAGGAUGAUCAGCCACACUGGAACUGAGACACGGUCCAGACUCCUACGGGAGGCAGCAGUGGGGAAUAUUGGACAAUGGGCGAAAGCAUGAUCCAGCCAUCCCGCGUGGGUGAAGAAGGCCUUCGGGUUGUAAAGCCCUUUUGUUGGGAAAGAAAAGCAGCAGGUUAAUACCCAGCUGUUCUGACGGUACCCAAAGAAUAAGCACCGGCUAACUUCGUG